RNAcentral lists this small nuclear RNA (119 nucleotides) under Crocodylus porosus (Australian saltwater crocodile). RNAcentral's name for it is "U2 spliceosomal RNA (ENSCPRG00005003119.1)". It matches the Rfam family "U2 spliceosomal RNA", at positions 67 to 185 of the family's 192-position model. Rfam says of the family: U2 is a small nuclear RNA (snRNA) component of the spliceosome (involved in pre-mRNA splicing). Complementary binding between U2 snRNA (in an area lying towards the 5' end but 3' to hairpin I) and the branchpoint sequence (BPS) of the intron results the bulging out of an unpaired adenosine, on the BPS, which initiates a nucleophilic attack at the intronic 5' splice site, thus starting the first of two transesterification reactions that mediate splicing. Lineage: Eukaryota; Metazoa; Chordata; Crocodylia; Crocodylidae. The record is from RNAcentral.
UGUCCUCCAUAGGAGGUCUAUAUUGAGCAGAUUCUUUUUGGUAUUGGGUGGUGGAACUGGAGCGUGCUCCAUCCACUCCAUGAAUUGACCUGGUAUUACAGUGCUUCCAGGACCGGUGC